This 253-nucleotide ribosomal RNA is filed under the name uncultured bacterium. Its description in RNAcentral is "partial 16S ribosomal RNA". It matches the Rfam family "Bacterial small subunit ribosomal RNA", at positions 524 to 776 of the family's 1533-position model. The record is from RNAcentral.
CACGUAGGGGACGAGCGUUGUCCGGAUUCAUUGGGCGUAAAGCGCGCGUAGGCGGCUCGGAAAGUCGGUCGUGAAAUGCCGGGGCUCAACCCCGGGACUGCGUCCGAUACUCCCGAGCUGGAGGCAGGUAGGGGAGAUCGGAAUUCCUGGUGUAGCGGUGAAAUGCGCAGAUAUCAGGAGGAACACCGGUGGCGAAGGCGGAUCUCUGGGCCUUGCCUGACGCUGAGGAGCGAAAGCGUGGGGAGCGAACAGG